RNAcentral lists this ribosomal RNA (447 nucleotides) under uncultured bacterium. Its description in RNAcentral is "partial 16S ribosomal RNA". It matches the Rfam family "Bacterial small subunit ribosomal RNA", at positions 29 to 523 of the family's 1533-position model. The record is from RNAcentral.
AACGAACGCUGGCGGCAGGCUUAACACAUGCAAGUCGAGGGGCCCGCAAGGGCACCGGCGCACGGGUGCGUAACGCGUGGGAACAUGCCAUUGGGUGCGGAACAACGUUUGGAAACGAACGCUAAUACAGCAUAAUAUCUAAGGAUCAAGGAUUUAUCGCCCAAGGAUUGGCCCGCGUUAGAUUAGGUAGUUGGAGAGGUAAUGGGUCAACAAGCCGACGCUCUAUAGCAGAUCUGAGAGGAUGAUCAGCCACACUUGAACUGAGACACGGUCCAAACUCCCACGGGAGGCAACAUUGAGUAAUAUUGGACAAUGGGGUAAACCCUGAUCCAGCCAGGCCUCGUGAGUGACGAUGGCCUUAGGGUUGUAAAGCUCUUUCAGGUGCGAAAAUAAUGACACUAUCACCAGAAGAAGCCCCGGCUAAAUUCGUGCCAGCCGCCGCGGUAA